CGGGACAUCUCUGCAGCCGGUGAAAGACUGAAGGCUCUGAGACAUCCCAACACCAGGAAGCAGCAAGAGCAGCGGAGAACAGUGACGCCGGUUCCUUAGCAACGGGGGAACGGAGGACGAAGAGCGGGCCAAGAGAUAACGUGGCAUCAAUCUAUCAUAUGUAUGCACAUGCCGACCAGCUGAUGGCUGCUCCCUAUAUUAUCAUCAAUCACUUUGCAUGGAUAAGUCUGUUUGUGAUCAUGACUACUCUUCAGCUGAAGUGUUCUCCUCCGAUACGACCUCCAAAUUGUAGAUCCCCCAAAUUGCCUACUGAGGAAGGGGUCGCUUCUAGUACCCUGAAACGUGUAUAGGUUAUCAUUCAAGUCUGAACAGAGCGAUAUUUACCUGUAUUGAAGGCAGCACAUCUUCACGGAAUACAACGCACAGCAAAGCACAGCAAAGAUCUACAUUUCCAUCACGAGCAUCCAGCCGCAAGCAAGCGUGUGAGGGUCUGACACCCUAACUGGUAAAUACCGACAUCCUAGACCACUCACAUAGGAGUCUCCUGCCUGAGUUCUCCUCACAACAGGCUCGCAAAGAUUACCCUGUCUCUCCACUGCCGGUAACUUAACAGCCACUGCAGGACUCAACAUCUUUGGCCCGUCGCAGUUACCCCGGUGAGAACCAACCACUUUCGGCCCGUCGCAAUCGGGGACCAGCUGAUGCCAUGGUGAGAACCAUCUAUUCCUAUUACCUAUGGAUAGCACAGUCUAAAAUUACUACCAAGGCUGACCUUCAUAACCAAUUUUUUUAGUGCCAGAUUACCAGUUCAUUCUGAACUAAAAGCAUAUGCUAAUAAUAUUUUUUGCUGGCUUAUUAUCAAUAAGUAGUUGUUUUACAACAUUUAUUAUAAUUCUGCCAUUAGGGCCCAAUGGCAGUAUA
Molecule: long non-coding RNA, 921 nt
Organism: Hyla sarda
Lineage: Eukaryota; Metazoa; Chordata; Amphibia; Anura; Hylidae
Exons: 4
Source: RefSeq, a predicted model, not a curated record